This 368-nucleotide ribosomal RNA is filed under the name Klebsiella oxytoca. Its description in RNAcentral is "bacterial SSU rRNA". It matches the Rfam family "Bacterial small subunit ribosomal RNA", at positions 75 to 448 of the family's 1533-position model. The record is from RNAcentral. Lineage: Bacteria; Pseudomonadati; Pseudomonadota; Gammaproteobacteria; Enterobacterales; Enterobacteriaceae.
CUUGCUCUCGGGUGACGAGUGGCGGACGGGUGAGUAAUGUCUGGGAAACUGCCCGAUGGAGGGGGAUAACUACUGGAAACGGUAGCUAAUACCGCAUAACGUCGCAAGACCAAAGAGGGGGACCUUCGGGCCUCUUGCCAUCGGAUGUGCCCAGAUGGGAUUAGCUUGUAGGUGAGGUAACGGCUCACCUAGGCGACGAUCCCUAGCUGGUCUGAGAGGAUGACCAGCCACACUGGAACUGAGACACGGUCCAGACUCCUACGGGAGGCAGCAGUGGGGAAUAUUGCACAAUGGGCGCAAGCCUGAUGCAGCCAUGCCGCGUGUAUGAAGAAGGCCUUCGGGUUGUAAAGUACUUUCAGCGGGGAGGA